GAUGAACGCUGGCGGCGUGCCUAAUACAUGCAAGUCGAGCGAACAGACUAGGCGCUUGCUCCUCUGACGUUAGCUGCGGACUGGUGAGUAACACGUGGAUAACCUACCUAUAAGACUGGGAUCACUUCGGGAAACCGGAGCUAAUACCGGAUAAUAUAUUGAACCGCAUGGUUCAAUAGUGAAAGACGGUUUUGCUGUCACUUAUAUAUGGAUCCUCGCCGCAUUAUCUAGUUGGUAAGGUAACGGCUUACCAAGGCAACGAUGCGUAGCCGACCUUAGAGGGGGGACGGCCACACAGGAACUGAGAAUCGGUCCAGACUCCGACGGGAGGCAGCAGUAGGGGAUCUUCAGCAAGGGGCGAAAGCUUGACGGAGAAACGUCGAGUGAGUGAUGAAGGUCUGCGGAUCGUAAAACUCUGUUAGUAGGGAAGAACAAAUGUGUAAGUAAAUAUGCACGGCUUGACGGUACCUAAUCAGAAAGCCACGGCUAACUACGUG
Molecule: ribosomal RNA, 497 nt
Filed under: uncultured bacterium
Lineage: Bacteria
Description: partial 16S ribosomal RNA
Rfam family: Bacterial small subunit ribosomal RNA
Source: RNAcentral